RNAcentral lists this ribosomal RNA (409 nucleotides) under Actinomycetes bacterium. RNAcentral describes it as "Actinobacteria bacterium partial 16S ribosomal RNA". It matches the Rfam family "Bacterial small subunit ribosomal RNA", at positions 355 to 776 of the family's 1533-position model. The record is from RNAcentral. Lineage: Bacteria; Bacillati; Actinomycetota; Actinomycetes.
UGGGGAAUAUUGCACAAUGGGCGGAAGCCUGAUGCAGCGACGCCGCGUGGGGGAUGAAGGCCUUCGGGUUGUAAACUCCUUUCGACAGGGACGAAGCUUUUGUGACGGUACCUGUAUAAGAAGCACCGGCUAACUACGUGCCAGCAGCCGCGGUAAUACGUAGGGUGCGAGCGUUGUCCGGAAUUACUGGGCGUAAAGAGCUCGUAGGUGGUUCGUCGCGUCGUCUGUGAAAUUCCGGGGCUUAACUCCGGGCGUGCAGGCGAUACGGGCGGACUUGAGUGCUGUAGGGGAGACUGGAAUUCCUGGUGUAGCGGUGAAAUGCGCAGAUAUCAGGAGGAACACCGAUGGCGAAGGCAGGUCUCUGGGCAGUAACUGACGCUGAGGAGCGAAAGCAUGGGUAGCGAACAGG